UGUCUUGAGUCUAUGUGACUUGUGGUCAGGUCCUCUACCUGUUAAGGGGCUUGGGGCAUUGCCCUUACGUGACUGGUGGUCACAAAUCUAUGGAGGGCUGCGGAUAGUGACUAGCCUGGUUUCCUAGGAGUCAGGUUAAACGCCUACCAUCCCUCGGGGUCUCCGGAAUUUCAAACAUCCUCAGCUGGGAACCAGGGUCUUUCACUGUCCCACACAUGGCAUCAUAGUCAACGAUAGAUUAACAUGUGUAGCUUUAUCUAAAAUCUAUUCCCUUCUGGUGACAGAACUCAUGCCUUCUUCACUGAAACUGCCCUUACUGCGCAUGUAUCUGGAUGGAAUAUAUCUAUUCCAGGAUUUUAUGAGAGGCUUAGGGCUAGCUAACCUAAGCAUUGGAUUCAUUUUCUCUGGCUAUCUUAGCUACUGCCCUUUGGCUGCGAAGGGACAACACGAUCAAGGCGACUCUUAUAAAAGAAAGCAUUUAAUUGAGAGCUUGCUCACAGUUUAGUACAGCGGUUUCUCCACCUUCCUUUAAUACAGUUCCUCAUGUGGUGGUGACUUCCAAGCAUACCAUUAUUCUCAUUGCUACUUCAGAACUGUAAUUUCCUGCUCUUAUGAAUAGGUCGUAAUAUAGCUAUCUGUGUUUUCUAAUAGUCUUAGGCAAUCCCUGUGAAACGGUUGUUUGAUGUCUGCCCCACUAAGGGUUGCAACCCACGGGCUGAAAACUGCUGGUUUGGAGGAUUAGUCCAUGAUCUCUGUGGUGGUAAGCAGACAGGAAUGAUACUGGAGCCACAGCUGAGGGCUUUACAUCCUGAUUUGCACCAGCAGGCAGAGAUGGAGGGAGACGACAGAGACUGAGCCUGGUGUGGGUUUCGAAACCUCAAAGCUCAUCCUCGGUGACACAUGUGCUCCAUCAAGGCCACACCCACUCCAAAAUGCCACACCUUCCAAUCCUUUCCAAGCAGUUCCACUAACUAGGGAGCAAGCAUUCAAUGUAUGAGCCUAUGGGGGGUGGCCAGCCUCAUUCACACCACCACACGGACCACACUGAUGGACUUGGGGGAUGCGCACGUAAGCCGAGGAGGCCUGAUGUGUUUUCUAAUAGUCUUAGGCAAUCCCCGUGAAACGGUUGUUUGACGUCUGCCCCACUAAGGGUUGCAACCCACGGGCUGAAAACUGCUGGUUUGGAGGAUUAGUCCAUGAUCUCUGUGGUGGUAAGCAGACAGGAAUGAUACUGUUCUAGGAAUGAUACCCGAGGUUUUGCUUUGAGCUGCAAGGAAGACAAACCGUGAAUGCUCUCACUCAGCUAUAGAAAGUGAGCUUGCAGGUGCCGAGACAAUGGAGAAAAGCGUGCCCAAGACUGAGGACUUAAGCUAAGGCGAAGGGAGACACCCAGUGCCACAGGCAUGGUUAUAGCCCCUGAAGCUAGUUGAGUUGCCAGUUCCUCACAUGGAUGGAAUUGUUAUCAUUUCCUUAAGCCAACGUGGAGUUUGCUAACGCUUGUUUUUAAAUGAAUAUUUGUUUACUUAUUUAAAGGUUUAGUCAUUUUACGUGUUCAUGUGCUCCAUCUUCAGGAUCACCAUAGCAGGGCAUCGGAUUCCAUUAUCAGAUUCUGAACUACCAUGUGCUUGCUGGGAAUUGAACUUGGGACGUCUGGAAGGGCGGGGUUUCUAACCAUUGAGCCAUCUCUCCGUAUCCAUGAAAUUUUAUUUUUGACACAGACUGUGGUCAUAUCUCUCAAGCUUGUCUAGAAUACCUAAUCCUCCCAUCUCAGCCUCGUGAGUGCUGCGAUUGUAGGAGCAGCCUUCAGCCUGUCUACUGUGUUACAAGACAGAAGAGUGCACGUGUAGCUUUCAGCGUGGCACUGUGAACAUCUUCCCAGAUGUUGGAAGAAGCUGCAUAAAAACAGUCUCCUUAGUCACCCGUGCUCCACUCUGACUAGAGUAGAUGGCAGGAGCCACCUCAGACACUCCCCUGCUGGUGAGGACAGCUACGUUUCAGCUCCUAGGUCCAUCUACAACUGAAAUGGUGUCUGGAACUGAGAGGGUCCUCAGCAGAUCCUUACACCUGCCAUAGCCGACUGGGAAGGUGAGAAAUGGAGCCUCUGUCGUCUUCUUCCGUUCUGUUCAGCAUACAUCUGGCACCUGGUGAAGGCCGCUUGGUGUGUUGAUAAUGACUCGUGGAAAAUACACCAUAAGAGUCCAAGUGAGGAAAAGAAAGACUCAGGUGUGGUGAACAGCCAGCCACACACCCAGACUGGCCUUCUCCAUAAUAGAAUGGAGCUCUUUCUCCCUCAGUGCAGUUGAACAAACCAAUCCAAGUGAGGAAACCUCAGGGAAGGAGUGGCUUUCACUUCCCUAAGCAGCCUAGCCUAUCUCCUCUUAACCCCUGUGACCCUCAAAACCCAGUAAAUUCCUUCUUUUAUCUAUCUCAAAUCCUUUCUAUUACUCUCUAAGCCAAUUUUCUCGUGUACUGUAUUCAGUGGGAAUUGGAAACAGCUGGUCACCAUCUGCUGUAGAUUAACUCUUCAUGUACUUGAAGCCUAUAAUUAGGUCAUCGCUCAGCCUUCUCUUCUCCAGGCAAAAUAGCUCCUUUCCUUUAACCCUUCCCUGAAGGUUUUGUUUUCCAAUUAUUUAAUUGUUCUCUGUAGUGUUGCCCAAGAGUCUGCACUCUUCACACAUCUCCAGUCAAGGGCUGGGUCAUCGGGAAGGGUCAAGGAGUGUUGAAAGUCACCAUUGUCACUUUCCGAGGGUCUUUUUUCCGAGUUUAUUUUCAGAGGGCCAUUUAGUUUUUAAUGAUUAUAACUUAAUUUGUUUGGUUCUUAAUUAAAAUACAAAACACCAUUUCCCCUACCCUCUUCUUUCAUGCUCCCCCUGCCCCCACCUAAAAUUCAUGGUCCCCCGUUUCUUUAAUUAUUAUUGUUUCAUACAUAGAUUAUAUAUGCACAUGAAUAAAUGAACACAUGAAUGCUGACUCCCUUUACUGUUGUUGUAUGCAUACGUUUUUAGGGCUGAAUAACCAGUUAGGAAGCUUGCCCUUAGAGAAGACUACAGCUGUUUGAAGCUCUUCAUCUAGGUGUGGUGCCCGGUGACAUUCACCCUUUCACAUUGGAAUGCCUAUUGAUUUGGAUCAACGCUGUUCGAGUCUUAGAUAGGCAGCCAUGUUGUUAAGAUUUCACAAGGGCAGCUUCCCUGUCAUAGAGAGAAGCAUGUCAAAGCAAACACCCUUGUUCUCUGCCUCUGGCAAUCUUGUUGGCACACUGCUCCUCUUCUCUAAUGCUUCAGAAGGCUGUUUAGAUAGGGGAGAACAUCCUUCAACUCAGCAGGCCUCCACUGUCUUGAAAUUGGAGCAAAGAGGUCAAACUGUCCCAUUUUACUCUUCUCCUCACAUGGGAGGCGCUAGAGCACGCCAUGGACUUUGCGGCUUGGUGUCUGUAAGCUCACCAGUGCAGACUGCCGGCACAUAAUUAUCCUCUCAAUUAUGGAUAUAGCACUGAGAUCACACUUGAAAAGUAGGAAGGUCUUUUGAGAAAUUUCACAACAUUGUGCACAAUUUUGGGUCUCAUCAUGAUAUUUUCACACAUGCCUGUAACUAUCUUGAUCAUAUUUACCAUUACUCUCUCUCGUGCAUUCUCAAUGGUCCCCUUAUUCUUCCAAACCUGCGUCCAGGAGAGAGAUGCUUAGCUUGACUGGUCUUAGGAAACUAGUCCGGCGGUGAGAAGUCUAAACUUUUCUGUUUGACUAUUUACUUGCACACGUGUGUCCGAGUGUGUGUAAGCACAUGUCACAGGGCAUACAGAGACAUCCGAGGAUGACUAGAGGGAGCUGAUUCUCUCCUCCCAUCGUGUGGGUUUUGGGGUUUAACUCGUGUUUUUAGGCCCGGUGGGAUGCGCCCUUACCCACCGAUCCAUCUUAUCUUCCCCGCCAAUUUCAUCUUUUAAUUAUUUUACUUUUGAGACAAGGUUUUCUUCGAAGUCCACGUUGGCCAUGGGUUUAAUAUACUCUUCGUGCCCCUGUCUCCAGAGUGCUAGGAUUACACGUACGUGCGACCAUGCUUGGUUCCUUCUCCCUUUUAAGUCCUGGAAAUACAUACGCUGGUAUUUUCCUGGGACCAGCACUUCCUGAUGCUCCGUAAUAGACUUAGUAGGUUAGCAUGCCAGAUGCGAUGAUGGUGGCGGUCCAUAUCUCUUGCUUCCUUCAUGCGGGAAUAAGCUUUUGCUGAGAAGAGAGUGGGAUGAUCCCACCUAGAAAAGCGUGCUGCCUGAGGAUGUGGAGGAGGCAGGUAUCUCUGAAGAAUAUACCCUAAACUGAAGGAUGAACAGCCAGAAUCUGAAAUCCAAUUACAGCAUUGCAUUUGAUAUUGGACAUAGAGUGAAGGAGUAACCACUCUUGAUGAUGUCAUAGUGUUGUAGUGUUGUCCUGGCAACAUGGCGGGAGACUU
This 4437-nucleotide small RNA is filed under the name Rattus norvegicus (Norway rat). RNAcentral describes it as "uncharacterized LOC102551006". Lineage: Eukaryota; Metazoa; Chordata; Mammalia; Rodentia; Muridae. The record is from RNAcentral.